Molecule: non-coding RNA, 44 nt
Filed under: Echinostoma caproni
Lineage: Eukaryota; Metazoa; Platyhelminthes; Trematoda; Plagiorchiida; Echinostomatidae
Source: RNAcentral
CAAUGCUGACGAGUCCCGAACAGGACGAAACAGCUGUCCAGUGC